UCGAAGAACUUCCGCCCUUCUUUUCCCAUCCUCCUUAUGCAUUCAAGCUCCGCCUCUCUUCCUUUUCGCGUCACUAGUCCCUAGGAGAAUAACUCGUGCGCAUGCGCCCAGGAUUAUUUUCCCACUGGGUUGUCAUUUUUCCGGACUGUAUGGCCAUAUUCCUGACGUUUCGCCAACAUCUAUCGCAGGCACCCUCAGAGUUUGCGAGGACUCAAAGUAGCUUACAACAAAAUGAAAAACAGGUCCAGAUUGAAAACACAAGAAACUAUCAUUUAGAAGACCAAUGAAAGAAGAUUAACAGUAAAGUAUUACAACAGCACAGUGAUUGAACAAUAUAUAGAUGUUAAAAGGGCGGCCAAUGUGCAUCUGAAUUGUCGGAUUUAAGUCAGCAUGGAGUUCACUCCAGUAUCUAUGUGAUGUCCAGUGUGUCGGUGUGUGGUCCUUCUGUACAACAUGACUCCUAUCUUGGAGAUACAAAUGCACCUUGUCUCAAAAGCCAUAAAGUGUCUACAGAAAGCUGAAAGUAAAUUCAGGCUUACUGCCAACUUUCCAAUGGGCUCAGGGCUGAGUCUAACUGAAGAAAAGAACCCAAGAAUGCAGUGCUGGCUAGGUUGAGGGGGGAAAUGGACAGAGACUGAAAUGCAGGUGCAAACAAGAAAACAAGGAUUUGGGAACCUUCUAGAAUGCACCAGAAGCCUGGGUCACUUCUGCUCUGGACAGGAUAUUUUGGGAUAUUUUUGCCCUGGAUACAUAAUGUAGUUGCUGAAUCUUGAGGCCAAUGUCUAGAUCAGGGGCCCCCAAACUAAGGCCCGGGGGCCGGAUGCGGCCCUCCAAGGUCAUUUAUCUGGCCCCGCCCUCAGUUUUAGACUUAGGCUUGCCCAAAGUCUGAAACGACUUGAAGGUAUACAUCAACAACAGCAAUCCUAAUUAACUUGACUAUCUCAUCAGCAAGAAGCAGGCCCACACUCCCCAUUGAAAUCCUGGUAGGUUUAUGUUGGUUAAAAUUGUUCUUAUUUUUAAAUAUUGUAUUGUUCUUUCAUUGCUUUGUUUUUGUUUGUUUGUUUUGCACUACAAAUAAGACAUGUGCAGUGUGCAUAGGAAUUUGUUCAUAUUUUUUUUUCAAACUAUAGUCUGGCCCCCCAACACUCUGAGGGAUCUUGGACCGUCCCUCUACUUAAAAGGUUUGAGGACCCCUGGUCUAGAUGGUUUAAUCUAUCUUCAGAUUGGCCUGUCCCUUUCUUCCUGUGUUGCCACUCUGGUUGGCCACAGUGCUCCCUUUGAAACCUGGCAGUUGCCUACCUUGACUGCUGAGGUCAAAAUGGGAUGCAGAUGGUGGCAUCAAGGAGCAUGAAGAGUGACCCCUUCUUGUUUGUCCUUUCUUGUUUAAAAAACAAAGUACAACCAAGUACUCGAUUUCUUCCUAAUCUUCAGUUUGGAUUGCUACAAAAAUAAAACAGCUUGUAUGACUGAUUGUGUACCAAAUACUAAGUACAAUUUCUGCUAUCUUUUCAUACUGUUUUGCUUCAAAAUGCAAAUCAAUACCAGGAAAAUCAGAUGAAUGGUGGUAGUGUUUAUCUAGAUAAUGGAUUGGGCCAAAACAGAUCAAAUCUUGCUGUCCAGACAGCGGUGAAGUUCCAGAAUAUGCUGGAGGUUUUUUUUGUUUUUGUUUUUUGCAGUGUAUCCCUCAACUUUGCCUAAAGCAGAACAUAUUUGGGUAAGGGUAGAAAACCCGGGGAUACUCAUCAGAAAUCCAUGUGUGUUGUGAAGACAGUCAGUGCUGAAUUUGAGGUGAGCACAGUCCUGAGUAUCUCAGAUCCAAUGCUCUUUUCCUGGAAAUACAGAAUCAUAGAGUUGAAGGAGACCACAAGGUCCAUCCAGUCCAGCACUCUGCCAUAUAGGAGAUCCAGUUAAAGCACUCCUGAGAGUGCUUCUGUUUAAGGAGAAUCCAACACACCAAGACAGCAUAUUCCACUGUUGAACAGCUCUUAUCAUCAGAAAGUUCAUUCUAAUGUUUAAGUGGAAUCUGUUUUCCUGUAGUUUGCCAUUAAUGUCUCUUUUUAGAUAAACUACCAUCCACCAUGAAUGUUCUUCUGUUUUAGUAUUCUUGACCACAGGAUCACACCAGAUAUUUCUCAAAGUUUACUAAAAUCAGCUUUUGUAAAUCUAUAAUGUAUGUCUGACUAUGCUUGGCAUUAGCUUUCCAGAAUAACAUGAGCACUCCCACCUAAGAAUCCUGCCACUACCACCCCGUUAACCAGAUAAUCGCUUUUGGUUACUAUCAGAUUUCAAAGAGAUUAUUCCUUUUUUUUUUUUUUUGCCUCUUCCCUGCAAGGCAAAUGAGGAAUUUGUUGGACAUAAUCUUCUUGCCAGAAUUUCACUUCCAACAAGUGUCAGGGAGGUUGAAAUCUCCCAUUACUGCUACAGCUUUCCAUUUUCAAUGUGUGGUCAUCUGUACUGAGAUUCCUUCUGAGAUUGCUCUUGUUAUUCAGUCUGUUCUUAUGCUUGCCUGCUCUGUUGGCACAUAGCAACUGGAAACUCUGAUGCAACCCAAACUACAACAGUAGCAAUGUGCCCCAUUGGACAUGAGCACCUGGGGUAUGUGUUGAUAUAUGCAGUGUCUAAUUAAGUGUUGGUUUGUCCUUGGCCUGUCUGGCAUGAUCAUGAGCAAGCAGGUGAAACCUGCCAAAUGUCCAGUUGAUUUGCCUGCCACCCACUUUGAAAUCUGGUCUCCAGACUUCAUUUGGUUGCUUUCAUUUCUUGUUAAGUUUUCCUAAACAACGUUGUUGGCAAAUCAGUAAUUUGUUCAAGUACCAGUUUUGCAAGGUCCCAGCAGCAGUAGGAUACAUAUAGCUGUCAAGCAAUACAUAAAAUUACCCAUGAUCUCAAAUAUCCACAUGUGUAUGUCUAGGAAUGUAUCCCCCAUGGAUAUGGGGGUUGUAUGACGGGGUGUGUGAAACGGAAGAAAUCUGUUCUGUUUUUGUUUUGAUUUUGGGUGCCCCCACUAUUCUGUUUUUAGGAAGAUUCCAGGAGAUUUUGGGGGGAUGUUCGGAUUGUUAAUUCAAAAGCCUGAGUUCUGUUUUCAUUUUGGUAGGAUUCGUUCCUUUGUCACCAAUGGGGAAACUUUAGUGGCUCAUUUCUCCGUCAUUUGAUAGCUAUAAGUCUGCCAUGUUUCAUGAUGUUUAGCUCAUCCACUGUUUUUUUGGAAAUUUUAAUUUUUUUAACAAUAACAUUUUUAAAAAACUACAACAAGGAUUUCUGGGAUUUAAAGUCCAAAGCAGCAUGAGCCACAAGAGGGGAGGAGAAUGGACAGAACCAGCUCUUUGGUUAACUGAGAAAUAUGAUGCAGCUGGCUGCAUUCCAGAACAUUCAGGGGGCUCGUUUCUCUGCCAUUUUCAGGGCUAUCAGUUUGAAACAUGCUUCGGUGGCAAAGCGUGUUAAAGCACUGAGCUGCUAAACUUGCAGACCGAAAGGUCCCAGGUUCAAAUCCCAGGAGCGGAGUGAGCGCCCGCUGUUAACUCCAGCUCCUGACAACCUAGCAGUUCGAAAAUAUGCCAAUGUGAGUAGAUCAAUAGGUACUGCUCCAGUGGGAAGGUAACGGUGCUCCAUGCAGUCAUGCUAGCCACAUGACCUUGGAGGUGUCUACGGACAACGCCGGCUCUUCAGCUUAGAAAUGGAGAUGAGCACCAACCCCCAGAGUCAGACAUGACUGGACUUAACAUCAGGGGAAACCUUUACCAUUACCUUUACACUUGUAGGACAUAUUAACAACCAUAAGCCCCCCCCCUCCCCAAGUUUCAGAACAUUUUACUAACCCACUGAUUUUUGGGAAUUUAAAAAAGUAUUUACCAAUAACAUUUUUAAAAAGCUAGCUAUUUUUGGGAUUUGAAGUCCAAAACAGUGUGUGCCACAGGAGGGGUGGAAAAUGGACUGAACCAGCCCUCUGAUUAGCUGAGAAACAUGAUACAGCAAGUGUGGCUUGUUGCUCAGCCUCAUCAUCCCCACCAUGGAGAGACUUCAGCUAGUGUUUGCAAAACAAACAAACGGUCAGAAUACUAAUGAUGAAAAAUAAGUCUGAUUCAAGGAUUAAAAAAAAAUAGCCGAAAGAUUAGGCAGCCUGUUUUUCAUUCUGGGAAGACUCUAAAUGGGUCCUUCCUGGUCUGUUUCUGGCAGCUCGGUUGCUAGAUCUUUGAAAUUAUCCAAAAUCUGAAUCGACCAACAGAAUUAUGCACACCCCUAUUGAGAACUCCUAUUGGUUUCCAUGGCUGAAAAACAUCUUUUUUUAUUUGUCACACACUCUCCCAGCCUCAGAGGAAGACAAAAGCAACCCCCUUCUGAACAAAUCUUGCCAAGAAAUCCCUGUAAUAGCUUGUCAUAAGUUGACAUAAGUUUUAAACAACUUGAAGGAACACAACAAUAAUAUGUUCCCUUUCGUGGACUUAGCACAGUUAUGGAGUGGGGUGAGGAAGGAGAGAGGCUACAGCCCUUGAGCUUUUGAGGUUGUAAGGAUAGUCAAACAGAAACACUCACUUCAUUUAUUUGAAUGAGUAAUGGUGAAAUCAUUAAAUAAAUUAUCUGCCAAUGUUUAUUUCAGUCUACCUCAUGUAUUCUCCUUUUGAACAUGUUGCUCCAACACACUUUUUUCCCCCUAGAAGAGACAAAAAGAGAGAAAGAAAUUAAAUCCAACCUCACUCUCCAGCACCUAGUGUUAUUGUAAUGCUAUAGUAGAGAUCUAAAAUAUACAGAAAGUCAGAAUAUGUUUUUUUUUUUUAAAUUAUGACUCUCAUGGGCCCCGUAGCUCAGCCCUACAGUACAUAUGUUGUAUAUUAAGGUAGUGGUUCACAAUUUGUUUUUGUUGGAAAGUCCUUUGGGAUAGAUAGCAGGUGGGCCUCCCAUUUUCCUCUCAUCUGGAGCUAUCUUCUGGAGUGAGUAAAAGCAAACUGGAAUGCUGUGGGAGCAAAGAAACAGAAACUCAGAAGCAAGGAGGCAUGUCUGACUAUGGCUCUUCCCCCCACCUUCUGUGAAGCUAAAUUUGAGUCUCAUUCUACCUCCCACAUGGUGCAUUGUAAUAAACACAAUGCUGAUCAAGAUAAAGUUGGGGCUUGAACCUUCAGUACUUUGUACUGAAGGUCUGAUGUCUGCUCAAUUUAUCCUCUGUUGCUUCACUUUCUCUGCAAUGUUUAAAAUGCUUUGGUUUUUCUAUUCCGUCUUCAUCAUCUCCACCCCUUUAUUCUCAGCUUGCUGUAAACUGAGUUUAAAGUGCAAAAGUAGUUGACUUAGGACUUCAUCAGAUGGAGCUGUGGAAAACGGGGGGAAGCGAAGGAAAUCUAGUUUAGAAUUGUCUUCUUUGUGUGGGAUUCUGUCUUUUAAAAAGAUGGAAAAUGUAUUUACCCCAUCACACAGGAUUGCCUCCUCCUGCCUCUAGUUCAACUAGAGGAGAAAGAUGGCAUCAUUCUUAAGGCAGACCCCCUUCUCUGGGCUCCUCUCCUUUCCCUUCCAAUCGCCUUAAUCUUAAUCGCAGUAGUCAGAUACCUACUAAGCACUAGAACUUACUGUAGGGUGGUGGUGGUGGUAAGGAAAACAAAGUUAAAAAGCACAAUUUCAGAAUGACUAUGAAGGAGGAAUGAGAGGAAAACAAAGUGGUGAUAUCUUGAAAUUGCAGUAUUUCUAAUGUUUAAUUUAUUUAAAUGAAAGUACCAUGCCAUAUUUAUGAAACAGGAUUUUGGGAGUCAAAUGUCAAUGCUUGGUAGGAGACUGCCCAUAGGAACACCCAUUACUCCACAUUAAUGAAACAAUUCAGCAUGGGCAAAUUGGACAGAUCCUAUCCUACCCACCCACCCACCUCUCCACACAAGCGUUUCUAAAUACAGUAGAGUCUCACUAAUCCAAGCCUCGCUUAUCCAAGCCUCUGGAUAAUCCAAGCCAUUUUUGUAGUCAAUGUUUCCAAUAUAUCGUGAUAUUUUGGUGCUAAAUUCAUAAAUACAGUAAUUACAACAUAACCUUACUGUGUAUUGAACUACUUUUUCUGUCAAAUUUGUUGUAUAACAUGAAGUUUUGGUGCUUAAUUUGUAAAAUCAUCACCUAAUUUGAUAUUUAAUAGGCUUUUCCUUGAUCAGUCCUUAUAAUCCAAGAUAUUCGCUUAUCCAAGCUUCUGCCGGCCCGUUUAGCUUGGAUUAGUGAGACUCUACUGUACUUCUAAAAGAGAUGUUUCAUCAAAGAACUGUUUUAGAAGUGUUUAAAAAUUGGGGUGGAGGGAAUGCUUGUGAAUACAGGCUAGCCUUCUGCAUGCUCCCCUGUCAGUUUUGUUUUUCAGCUUCUGAUUGACACCCUGACACUUGACCUCGGGUUUGCUAGUCAACCAUGAUGUCUCAGCUCUCUGUGUGAAUUAUGACAUUGACAUUAUCACAAAUCUUUUUUUAAUUCCAACAAUAAUGACAGUCUGCAUAACACCAGGGAAACAUUUCUAAUAAUGUGCUCAUGUCUUAUUGAUGGCCAGAAUUGUCACUACAUUUCAGUUAAAGUGAAAUUUGAAACAAAUGUAGGGUGCACUUAUUAUUUAAUGAAGUGUAAGGGGUGCCAAGAGUUGAUAAUAUGGAUGCUGUUUCCUAGAAAAGUUUUGCACAUCCUUUAUUUUAAUGGUUCUCAGACUCUGGUUCUCCAGAUGUUUUGGAUUUCAGUUUCUAGAAGCUCCAGCCAGGAGGGACACUACUCAGGAAUUCUGGGCGCUGAUGUUCCAAACAUCUGGAGGACCAGGUUCUGACAACCACUGCCUUCAUUCAUACCUCCUUAACUGAAAUUCAAAACUCUUCCCUGAUGUAAACACUUGAAGAAUUUCAUGAAAAACUACAAGUGUUUCAGUAUGGCAAUUGAAAUAUUGCAUUAAUGGUACUCCAUGUUGCAUUCAUGGUACCCUAUGUUGUAUGUUUCUGUAUGUGGAAUGCGCCAGUAUGGUGUAGAGCUUUGAACACUGGACUAAGAAUCCUGGGAGAUCAGAGUCCAAAUUGCCAUUCAGCCAUGGAAGCUUUUUCAAUAAAUCACCUUCUCUCAGCCUAAAUAGGAAGGCAAAGGACAAAUCCCCCCUUAAAAAUGUUACCAAGAAAGAAGGAGUUAAUUUGAAGGCACACAAUAACAAUAAAUAGGAAACACGGUACCCUAUUUCAUACAUUUGGAAGGACUUUUGUGCUUUUAGUUGAUAUGUGAAAGAGGCAGCACAGCAGCUGAAACUUCAUCCCUCACUUGUCAAGGGUUCUGAUGUACAUUUGACCUCCUGCCAACUAAAUGGGACAGCUGUAUUAAUAGAAAAAUAGUGGAGCAAGGUUGAGUCUGUCAAUCAUAAAGUGAAAGUACUAAGUGACACUAGUAAACAUCAUAUUAGCUAUUAGUGCCAAGACUCAGAAUGUUGGCAGUCUUCCAAGGAGUGUGGGUUCAUUUAUUUAUUUUUGUAAUGAAAUACUGUAUGAGAAAAAAUGUAGAAGAUUGUAAAAUAAGCCUGUAGUUCAGAUAUUGUUUAUAAUUACUGCACGUAAGAUAUUCAGGAAAUAUUGCCAUAGGAAAGAAUGAGAGAGAGAUUUUGCAAAUGUUUUCUUUUCAGUGCUUAAAUAAUUCUUAUCUGUUAAAGUUGUACAAUUUAUUAUUAAGAAAGCCAUAAACCAUUUGUUAACUGUUUGUGGGCUGAAGGCUUAAAACAAAAUGUCCAAAUCAGUUGGAAUGCUUCAUUAGCUAUAAUAGCGGUUUAAUUAAAUACUGCUUUCUCUUUGGGUUGCCGUGAGUCUUUCAGGCUGUAUGGCCAUGUUCCAUAAGCUUUCUCUCCUGAAAGCUUUUGGAACAUGGGCAUACAGCCCAAAAGAUUCACAACAACCCAGUGAUUCCGGCCAUGAAAGCCUUUGACAACACAUUGCUUUCUCUUUGUUUGUUUUUAUGCUAAUAAUGUAAAUUAACCCCUCAGUGCUGUUGAUGGGACAUGGUUAUUUUCUUCUCUUAAAUGUCAAUUUUAUAUGUGGGCAAAUGGUCCAAAAUCUCAUAAUAUGUGUAUGUUGGUGGCAACUACUCACUAGAAAACAUUAAUAGAGAUGGGUGGGGGAAGCACAAUGUACAGAAGAGCAUUACUCUAUAGGUGUCUUUCAACAAAUAAGUAACUCUUCCAUGCCAACUGAGAUAUUUAAUAGAAAACCUUCUUGGCUCUACAAGGUCAGGGCAGGAGCCUGAUUUGCCCCAAGUAAGACUUAUAAAGGCUCAGACCAGUGGCAAUGUGCUCCUAAUGCCAACAGGGCUCUAUCUGAGUCUGAAGAUCAUAGGUAGACAAGAAGGAGUAACAGCAUCACAAUCAAGACAGAGGCAGCCCUUGAGACCAAAGGCAAGCAGAGAAGACCUCCCUGCAAAACCACUAUUUGGUACCAUUUUGAUGUGGGAGCAGAUCCAAGGAUUGCUAUAAGGCUUCACUACACAUAGGAAGUGAGCAGGGGUAAAUUGCCAGAGCAACAUGGCACCAGCAGCCUCCUCAAGCACUUUAAGAAGUAGAAUCAUAGAGAUGGAAGAGAUACUAGCAUAGAGAUACUAGCAGAGAUCACCUAAUGCUGUAAGGGGCAUAUGAAGGAUUUGCUAGGAUUUCUAUGCACGUGUUAUUGAAUACAGCUCCCAUGUGUUCUUAAAAUCAGUGGUUGCAAAGGUGUUCAAUGUAAAUUCAGGAAAAAUGUGUUCUCCAUUCAAUGCAGGGUGUGCUAAAUUUAAUUUUUACUCAGAUAACAUUUUUUUAAUUAGACUUGGUGUUAAUUAUUUACGUCCUCACCAGACGGCCUCAUCAGACGAACUGGUGGUGGAGGUGCCCCGGUUUGUAUAGGGGCAUGGGCAAUCUGGCAUCUCAUGCCCCACAUCUCCCAGGCCCAACUGAGGACAUACGACUUCCCCCCAUAGAUUGUAUGGCAACACAGGAGCUCUCUCAUGUUGCCCUGCUGAGCUCUGCCCUCCUUCACUCACAGACCUAGCACGGCUGUGAUGGGAGCCAGCCAGAUCUGUGGAUGAUCUGGGUGAAAAUUGGUGCAUGUUGCCAAUUUUAGCCCUUUGUGAUGGCAUGGUUAAAUAACACAUGCUGAGAAACAAAAGCUGAUUUUUAUGUGUCGUCCUUUUUGGCCCUUGUGACAGCAUUGUGAGGGAUCUGGGAUGCUCCUGACCUGGCAAUCAUAUCCAUGCAAAGAAAACCAGACAUAGACACCUCCAAUAUUUUGUAUGAAACUUAGGUUCUUAGAUGUCUUCAAGGAAAACUCUACCCAGUUUUCCUGAAAAUAAAACCUACCCCGAAAAUAAGCUUUAGCAUGAUUUUUCAGCAUUUUUGAACCUUACUUCAAAAAUAAACACAGUUUAUUAAAAGCCCUCAAAAUAAGCCCGAAUGCAUCUUUUGGAGCAAAAAUUAAUGUAAGAUUUUGUCUUAUUUUCAGGGAAAUGGGAUACACAUUGCUGAAAUAUAGUUAAGAUGUUACCAGAACAUGGAUAACUUUGGCCAAAUUACUUCUGACCAAGAGAUGUUCUAACUGUAGUCAUAGCUUUCUGUGAGAAUUUCCCUGCUGCAACAAUUUUCCCAGUGUCUUUAAUAUUUUUGAUAGAAAUGUUAUUCCAGGUACAUAUUGAAGCUGAGGGGUGAUUACAAUAAAAGGAAUUGUAAGAGGCUUUCUAGAACUGGGGUCAAACAUGACAUCUCCAUAAAUCAUUGGUAACCUUAACACAGACAGUCUUAUAGAAACUUUCCUGUCUGAGGUAGUAUAUACAUAGGUUAAAAUAUUCCUUUCAUAUUUAUCUUUCACUCUGAGGCUUGCAGAAACCAAAUUUCUGUCAUCAAUAAUUAUUAAUCUUCCAUUUCACUCUAGAGGGAGUUUUAAUAAAGCAGCAAGCACCACAUUGGGACAGGAACGGGUCAAAGGGAGAGAAGAUGUGAUCCAAAUAUACAAAAUGAAAGCAAAAAAUAAUAUAAAAUCCAAAUAUAUAAAAUUGAAGGGGGAAAAAAGAAAGAGAGCUCAGCAUAACAUCUGUGUGCCACAUGUACAUAAAUCAUGAUGGGAUUCUAAACAUUUCUUAUUUCACCUAUGUGUAACUUGGGUUUUCUAGUUAAUAAUAUACUAAAAACAUUAUUAUUUGCUUUAGUUUGAAGUGACAUUUGAUCAAGUCUAAAACAGAACUUCUGCAAGCCUUAGCUGCAAAUGUGGAAAUUAUAAGAGUCUUUCAGAACUGGGAACGAGGGAAAGGGCUUUUCAUUUUCAUUCGAUAGAAUCUAAAGUGUAUGACUGCUCUUCCAGCAGUCACCAGCCAAUCCCUCUGCAAUGCCUGAAAUACACUUAAUGGUGUAAUGUUAGAAAAAGUUGACCAUUUCCGCUACCUUGGCAGCCAUCUUUCCACAAAAGUCAAUAUUUUCACUGAAAUAGAACACCGCCCUGGGCUCUGCGAGUGCAGCAUUUUUCCAAAUGAAGCAGAGAGGGUUUGAGGAUCAGGACAUCCGUAGGGAUGCCAAGGUGCUUGUUUGUAAAACUAUUGUCCUCCCAACCCUGUUAUAUGCAUAUGGAACGUGGACUGUUUACAGACAUCACACUCAACUCCUGGAAUGAUUCCAUCAGCGUUGACUCUGAAAAAUCCUGCAAAUCUCUUAUGAAUGUCAAUGUCAAUGUUCUGGAAGAAGCAAAAACCACUAGCACUGAAGCGAUGCUGCUACGCAGUCAACUUCGCUGGACUGACCACAUUGUCUGAAUGCUCAACCACAGUCUCCCAAAGCAGUUACUUAGCUCCCAACUCAAGAAUGGCAAACAGAAUAUUGGUGGAUAGGAAAAGAGAUUUCAAGAUGGUCUUAAAGCUAACCUUAAAAACUGUGGCAUAGACACCAAUAACUGGGAAGCCCUGGCCCUUGAGCGCUCUAGCUGGAGGUCAGCUGUGACCAGCAGUGCUAUAGAAUUUGAAGAGGCACGAAUGGAGGGAGAAAGGGAUGCUUGUAUAAGGACCAAAAAGGAGAAAGAAACAUACAUUUAUUAUCUCUGAUCUUAGGACAAGAAAGGAGAUAGACUAAAGUAGUUUGCCUAAACUUGGUUUCAAGUUUAUUAUAUUUAUUUAUACCCCACUUUAUCUCCCCAAAGGGGACUCAAAGUGGCUUGACAUAAAAGCAUUGGUAUCCAAUUUAAAAUAUACUAAUAUACAAACAUUAAAACAGAAUUAAAUGCAAACAGCAUUUAAAAAUUCAGUUUAAAUCCAUCAAAACAUAUUCAAAGUUAAAAACCAUAGCAUCCCCUAACUAGAUCUUAAACAUCUUCAUCUUUAAAUGCCUACUUGAAUAAAAAGGUUUUAUAAAGUUGGUUCUUCUAUAAGUCUGUAAGGUAGCAACCACUAUUUUAGUUGGAGAGCCAUUGAUGCUGUGUUCCUUCUUGAAGAAAGGGGAAAUGAUAUCUGCAGUGAAGAACGAAGCAAAAUGAAACAAAGGGUAUUAAAUAGGGUAACAGAACUGGAUUCCAUUGAAUCUUGGAAGCUAAGCAGGGGUCAGCCCUGGUUAGCAUUUAGAAUGAGAGACCAUCAGGGAAUACCAGGUGCUAUGUUACAGAGUAAGGUAAUAGCAAACCAUCUUUGAGUAUUCCUUGCCUAAGAACCUCCUAUGAAGUUGAUGUGGCCACCACAAAUAAGCAACUUGAGGUACACACAAUACAGAAAAGUGAAAUAAAGGGAAAGCAUUAUCAGGACUCAACAGUUUCACAAAUCACUUGAUACAAAUGUUGAUGCUUCCAACAAUGUUCUCUAAAAAUUGGCUAGAUAGUUAAACAUUUCUAAGGGCAUGCCCAUGCAUUUCAAUGGGGAAUAUGAGAAAGCAAACUAGUAUACUGUAUCUCUGCCAUUUAAAUAUACAAAUCAUGCAGAUUUUGUGUUUAACUCACCAGAGCUGCAUCCUAAAAGACAUGCUGAGUUUGAAAUUAGAUAGCUAUUAAUUAUAAAAUUUGUGAAAGUUGAAAUGAUAUAGAAGAUCAUCUGGGUCUUAAUCCAUUUGUUACUUCCAAAUAGAGUUGUUGAGUACCUUCAAGUCACUUCCUGCUUAUUACAGUCUUAAGGCAAACAUACCAGGGUUUUUCUUGGCAAUAUUUGUUCAGAGGGAUCUUGCUUUUCUCUGAGGUUGAGAGAGUGUGACUUGUCCAAAAUCACCAGUGCGUUUUCAUGGCUAGGCAGAGAUUCCAACAUGGGAGUUGUAGUUCAGUGCUCAAACCACUGCACAUGUUGGCUAUUAUAGGUCCCACUAAAUCAGGAGUCUUUUAACUGUUGAAUCAAAGGGCCAGUUCACAGUCCCUCAGACUAUAGUGUGAAAAACAUGAAAGAAAAAUACAAUAUUUAAAAUGAAGAAUUUUUUUUAAUCAACAUAAACUUACCAGUAUUUCAAUGCACCAUGUGGGCCUGUUUUUGGCUGAUCAGGUAGUGAAGUUAAUUAGGAUUAUUGUUGUUGUUGUCUUCAUUCUUUUCAGACUUAUGGCAACUCUCAGCCUAAAGUUUAGUGCGAGGGACAGGUAAAUGCCCUUGGAGAACCGCAUCCAGACUGCAUACCUUAAUUUGGGGACCUCUGCCCUAAAUCAAUAAAACCAUGGUAAAUCAACACUAUAGUGACAAUGACUCAAUGAGUUUACUCUGGAUGGAAAUGUUAUGGUUGAGCCUUAUGGCUCCAAUACUGGGAGACGUGGUCGUAAGACUCCUCGAGAGUCAGACUCUCUUGAGGAGCGAGAGAGGAAACGGCUGCGGGACUUAUUUGCAGAACCAACUGACGAAGACUCCUUUGAGGGUUUUACCGAGGGAAUGGAGGAAGAGGUGGUUAGCUCAGAGGAGGAUGACAUGGAAUGGACUCGUGUGAGGGAGGAUUUGGGUGUUCCUGGUAAUGAUAGCAUGGGAAGCGACUGGCAGGUUGCAGGAUCGGACCCGUGGACGAGUUGGAGGGAUGGAACGGGAUCCACAGCUGGGGAUGCUGUGGGGCGUAGUCAAAGAUGUUUUAGCUCUGAUGAGGAUGAUGAUGAUGAGGCACCUGGAAUUAGGGUAACAGCUGAUAGCGAUGAGGAGUUGUAAACUGGCAUAAAAUGGGGUCUUGAAUUCAGGGCUAAUUGCGUUGGGCAAGGUAAUCUGGACGAACGCUUGGGCUCUUGUUGGGAAUUUCCUGAAGACGGGUGUGUUUCGUUUUCUGAAUACGUAAGUUACCAAGGACACUGGGCAUAGACGGCGGGAGGAACUGUGUGGGCUUUUGUUGUGCAACCUGUGUUUAAUCUUAUUAGCUUGGACCUCCGUCGUCUUCUUGACGGACAUUAAUUGCCUAUUCUGGAUUGACGCUGGACUGACUGACUACGACCUCGGACUACCCCUUCUGUGGCUUUCGGUGGAAUUGGUGAACCAAAGACAUCUGUACCUGGCUUUCGACCUCGGACCGGACUGGGACCCUGCUGACCGUUGCUACCCUGAUUGAAGCGCUUGGAUCCGGAUUCUGUUUGUUGCACGGAGGAGUAACAACCUUAGUUACUCAUUUGCAGCUUUCGAAGUAGCAGAGAGGAAUCUGCUGCCAGCUUUUUAUGUUUCUUUGAAUCUUUGUUUAUCAGCUUUUGUUUGUUCUAAUUGCCAGGCUGAAGUAAGCAUUUUCUGUUUAACCCGGAUUAAACUCCUGUUUAAUCCGGUUUAUCUUUUGUACCGCUUUUAGUAUCAGCGGAGUCUUUUUGUGUAUUUUUACACUGAAGGCAAGUGUUUGCCUAGUCCUUUGUUUCAUACGGGCGCUUUUUAGUUCUGUAACUUUAAUAAACUGUGUUGAACUUUA
This is a long non-coding RNA of Anolis carolinensis (green anole), 13789 nucleotides long. RefSeq lists it as uncharacterized. Lineage: Eukaryota; Metazoa; Chordata; Lepidosauria; Squamata; Anolidae. The transcript is spliced from 3 exons. The record is from RefSeq and is a predicted model, not a curated record.